AUGAGAUCUACAUGCAUCUAUUGAGUCCCAGAGUGCUGAGGAACAGAAAGUUUUAAAUAACUUAUAUGUUAUUGUUUGUUUAUCCUGCUCAUUUUACCUUAAUCUAGCAUCCAAUUAAGCAUAUCCGUCUCAAAUUAUGAAUAUAUUCUCAAAUUAUGAAUAUAUUCAGAAUUGAGGUCAGUGCAUUUCGUUAGGGAAAAUAAAUGGUUCUUCAGUGGGUUAUUACUGUCAGCCAUACCUCUAGUAAGUUUAAUAUGGAAAUCUGCCAAAUAUUCAGUUCAUAGUCAUUAUAAUGAAGUAGAUUUUUUUCUAUUACAUGCAAAUUUAGGUUUUUUUAAAGUAUGUUCCAGCUAUUGUCAAGAAAACAGCUACAAACAUGUCAAAAAUGUCCACCUUUUUAUUGUUUCUGCUUCAGUCUGGGAACAUUCAACUGAGGUUCGAAUUUUCAGGAAGAAAAUUCUAGAUAUGAGAUAAUAAUACAAAGAGAGAGUGAAAGUGCCACAGCUUGGUCCAAGUUCUACUUUAUUAGAGGUGACAAUGUGCAUAUUCAUAUUUUCAACUAUCAGCUGUAGAUA
RNAcentral lists this long non-coding RNA (575 nucleotides) under Rattus norvegicus (Norway rat). RNAcentral's name for it is "long non-coding RNA NONRATT031780". The record is from RNAcentral. Lineage: Eukaryota; Metazoa; Chordata; Mammalia; Rodentia; Muridae.